Molecule: long non-coding RNA, 965 nt
Filed under: Marmota monax (woodchuck)
Lineage: Eukaryota; Metazoa; Chordata; Mammalia; Rodentia; Sciuridae
Source: RNAcentral
AAAUCAGUCGACUAGCUUUUGCAGAGACUUUGAACAGAACUCUCAUUCACGUGUUUCCUCUAAUGAAGUAUUCUGUUCCUAGUCGUGGGUGUGCUGGGUGGAGCGUGUGAAACACGACGUGAUCAAAGGAUGAAGACAGUAUUUUGACUAAAUAUAAGUGGAGAUUAAUUUACACUACAUUGUACACAGAAUAAUUCAACUGAAUAAAAAAGUGUCACGGGUAAAGAUUUUUAAAGAUUAAUUUCUGUCAAAUGCAGUAGAUGAAGAAAGGUCGGUAUUAAGUGUCUUUUCUUAAGCUUCUCCAUUUUCCUAUACUUGCCAUCCCUCCCGGAAUUGGGCAUUUAAUUCACUUUUGAACGGCCAUUCCCAUAGUUGCUAACUUAGUAAGUGCUUUUCUUAUAGAACCCCUUCUUAAUGAGCAAUAUGACUUCUACUUGUACUAUAAAUCUUUCUGAUAAUGCAUUAGUUUUUUUGUAGGUUAGUAAAAGUGCAUUCCUGUUUUCAUGUUACUUUAUUCAAAGCUAAUAAGUGCUUUCCUUAGUUUUCUAGUAACUAGGUGUAAAAAUCAUGUGUUGCAGCUUUACAGUUUUUAAAAUAUUUUAGAUAUUCUUCAACUAUGAACCUUCUUAACAUCACUGUCUUGCCAGAUUACCAACACUGUCACGUGACUAAUACUGACCCUGUUUACCACACACACACACACACACACACACGGACACACGCUUCCUGUUGUGGCUUUGCCUAAUGAUGUUCCUUUGGGUCUGUGAGGUUCUGUAAACUGUGCUAGUGCUAAGAAUGUUCUGUACAACUUAAACUCACUGGCAAGAACACAAUGUUGGACCUUUCAACCACUAGAACAAAAUUUUUUAAAUUGACAGUUGCAGAAUUGUGCAGUGUUUUUACAUUGAUCUUUUGCUAAUGCAAUUAGCAGUAUGUUUUGCAUGUAUGACUUAAUAAAUUCUUGA